CAUACUCGCGUAGCAUUUUUAUCAAUCCCAAUAAACACAUUGCUGAUCUUGGAUGGCUCACUCGGAAGACAUGUGAUCCUGAUAUCACGAGUUUUAUUUUGACCCUGAGGACUCAUAAGGUAGUCUCUACUGAAGAAAGGAGGAAAAUGGGCCAAAAACCCAUCUGAUUUGAGCAAAGUAUUUGGCCGCCGUCCUGUUUUCCUGUUCAGCACAGACGCACAGACAGCCACUUUCACAGGCUUACUGGGGGUGGAAACCAUACCUUGAGGAUCUCCUCAAACCCACAACCUAGACAUACCUUCCAUAGAGGAAGCAGAGUUUGAGGACAUGAACGCAGACCACCAAGGCCGAGGUGUCUGAGCACCUCCACUGAAGACCUCCAGAAUUCUCCAGGGAGUGGCGAACCUCUCACACUGCUGUGUGGAUAAUGCAGCCAGGCUGAUGUACAGUGCAACACAUGGCAACAAAUGAUCACAUACCUUCACACGAAAGGCCAUUGGGUGCCACGGUGAAGCCAGGGUCACAGGCCAUGCAUGAGAAGGAGCCCUCUGUGUUGAUGCAGAUGCCCGUGGGACACAAACCUGGGGUCUGGCACUCGUUGAUAUCUGAGAGACACCGGAAGGAAAGUGGAAGAUGUCAUCUUGGCCAAAGAAUCCACAUUGUGUAAAUGCUAUAUCUUUGCUGUCUGCUAAUAUGAUUACGAAGCAGUGAGAUUCAGCCUAAGUGCGUAGCAUUAGGUGCCGUAAGUAAAGCAUUCUUAAUGUGAUUGCACUGACAGUGUUUUAUCAAAACAGACGAAACAAUAAGUAUGCAAGACGAUCAUUGACUGCAAAACCAGCUAGCUAUUACAGGUGGUGUGUAAUUUCUGGAUAAACAAACAGUGA
Molecule: long non-coding RNA, 884 nt
Organism: Phycodurus eques (leafy seadragon)
Lineage: Eukaryota; Metazoa; Chordata; Actinopteri; Syngnathiformes; Syngnathidae
Exons: 3
Source: RefSeq, a predicted model, not a curated record